RNAcentral lists this ribosomal RNA (253 nucleotides) under uncultured bacterium. Its description in RNAcentral is "partial 16S ribosomal RNA". It matches the Rfam family "Bacterial small subunit ribosomal RNA", at positions 524 to 776 of the family's 1533-position model. The record is from RNAcentral.
UACGUAGGGGGCAAGCAUUGUCCGGAUUUACUGGGCGUAAAGAGCGUGUAGGCGGCCACGCAGGUCCGUUGUGAAAACUGGAGGCUCAACCUCCAGACGUCGACGGAAACCGUAUGGCUAGAGUCCGGAAGAGGAGAGUGGAAUUCCUGGUGUAGCGGUGAAAUGCGCAGAUAUCAGGAAGAACACCAAUGGCGAAGGCAGCUCUCUGGGACGGUACUGACGCUGAGACGCGAAAGCGUGGGGAGCGAACAGG